Molecule: ribosomal RNA, 440 nt
Filed under: uncultured Anaerolineaceae bacterium
Lineage: Bacteria; Bacillati; Chloroflexota; Anaerolineae; Anaerolineales; Anaerolineaceae
Description: partial 16S ribosomal RNA
Source: RNAcentral
GACUACUGGGGUAUCUAAGCCCGUUUGCUACCCUAGCUUUCGCGUCUGAGUGUCAGGAGUGGUCCAGGAGGCCGCUUUCGCCACUGGUGUUCCUCCGGAUAUCUGCGCAUUCCACCGCUACACCCGGAAUUCCACCUCCCUCUACCAUCCUCUAGUUCGGCAGUUUAGAACGGCCUCUCCCAGUUGAGCCAGGAGCUUUCACGCCCUACUUACCAAACCACCUACACGCGCUUUACGCCCAGUAAAUCCGGAUAACGUUCGCCUCCUACGUGUUACCGCGGCUGCUGGCACGUAGUUAGCCGAGACUUAUUCUGAGAGUACCGUCCUUCCUCAUCCUCUCAAAAAGUGCUUUACAACCCGAAGGCCUUCUUCGCACACGCGGCGUUGCUAGUUCAGGCUUUCGCCCAUUACUAAUAUUCCCCACUGCUGCCCCCCGUAGG